This is a long non-coding RNA of Oncorhynchus tshawytscha (Chinook salmon), 1181 nucleotides long. RefSeq lists it as uncharacterized. NCBI's taxonomy places the organism in Eukaryota, Metazoa, Chordata, Actinopteri, Salmoniformes, Salmonidae. The record is from RefSeq and is a predicted model, not a curated record. The transcript has 2 exons.
GUAGAGAGGUGAGUAAGUAGCACAGAAUACAUUUGUAGAAGAUUGCCUUUGAGAUGUCUCUGAGGACGAGAAAUUGCCCAGCAGCACCAAUGCAGCAACAACAACUGCCUGAUCAAGAAAAGCCUGUCUAAGAGCACAGUCAAUCUGGGAUUUGCAGGCUAAUUAGAUAAUCAUAAAGAAUGUUUAUGUUUUUUGUCUCAAUGUAUUUUCUCUUCUCUGUCAUAGCCUAUUUGAUAUGCACCUUUAACUAACCCAACAGUACAAUGACUUAAUGUUUAAUAUUAGUAAUGUAAAGGUUAUGGGUAGAAGUUACUGGAUAAUGAUAAACACUAGGAUAAAUGUUUGGAUCAGCAUGUUAUAAAUCUAGUAUAUUUGCAAUACUCUAUGUUAAGAGAUGUUAUUUUGUAAUUUUGUCAAUUUAAACUGUAGCGUAACUGGCUGCAGGGAAGUCAGGCGCAGGAGAGCAGCACUGUAGGAAACGGAGCCCUUUAUUACGGCGAACAAACACACAGCACUAAGAAGAAGAAACAAAUACGGGUUGAUAUAAUCCGGCGCAAACCAGCCUGACGUGCACAUACACGUAACAACAAACACUUCCACACACAGACAUGGGAGGAACAGAGGGUAAUAUACAUUCAGUCUGAUGAGGGAAUGUGAACCAGGUGUGUGGGAAAACAAGACAAAACAAAUGGAAAAUGAAAGGUUGAGCGGCGAUGGCUAGAAGACCGGUGACGUCGACCGACGAACGCCGCCCGAACAAGGAAGUCGUGACAUAAACUUUGUUACACAGCAGUAUUUAUCAAACCCAUCGUUCUCAUGCCUGAGGGACCGCUUACCAGUCACCUGUCCACAACAACAGUCCCUGAACUGGUUUUGACAAAUGUUUAACUCUGAUCUACUGUUUUUUUUCCCUUCUUUUUCAUAUACUCAUUGUACAUUAAUAUGGUUCUGUAUCUUUGUGUGAUUUGUAACCAUGUAUGUACAUGUACAUUUUAUAUUGUAGAUGUUAACUUAAUAAUACAUUUCUUUAGUCUGUAAUAUAUUACUGGACUCUACAACAGUAUGGUGUGUUUUCUAUUGAUCAUUCAUUUCUGCUCACUCAAUGUCAUCUCUAUCUCAGUUUGAAAUGUAAAUGUUGCAUGUCAUGAUUUUUCCAGCAAUAAACAUGACUGCUUACAGAA